Molecule: ribosomal RNA, 100 nt
Filed under: uncultured bacterium
Lineage: Bacteria
Description: partial 16S ribosomal RNA
Source: RNAcentral
ACGACGGCCUUCGGGUUGUAAACCUCUUUAGUAGGGAAGAAGCGACUGAAUUUAUUCUGAGUGACGGUACCUGCAGAAAAAGCACCGGCUAACUACGUGC